CAUUCCAUAGUCAGUAAGCUCUCUUUUUCCCCCCCUAAUUUCCUUUAAAAUCUCCCUGUUCAGCCAGGCUGGCCGUCUUCCCUCCCAGCUCGCCUUUCGGUACACUGGGACAGCCCGCUCCUGUGCGUUCAAGACUUGCUUCUUCAAGCAUGUCCAUCCCUCCUGGACCCCUUUGUUUUCAAGGGCUGUUUUCCAAGUAGGAGAACCAGCCAGAACCUCAGCAACAUUCAAGUUGGCUGUAAACAAGAGUCUUUUCUGGAUUCUGCUGUGCUUCUCAAUCAAAAGAUCACUUGCAGGAGAGACCCACAGACAAUGUUCUGAUCAUCUGUUCCAUUUGGGACCCAGAACGCUUGUACAUGAAGAACAACAAAUGAAAACUAUACUCAUUGCA
Pseudopipra pipra is the source of this 391-nucleotide long non-coding RNA. RefSeq lists it as uncharacterized. Lineage: Eukaryota; Metazoa; Chordata; Aves; Passeriformes; Pipridae. The transcript has 2 exons. The record is from RefSeq and is a predicted model, not a curated record.